Molecule: ribosomal RNA, 253 nt
Filed under: uncultured bacterium
Lineage: Bacteria
Description: partial 16S ribosomal RNA
Rfam family: Bacterial small subunit ribosomal RNA
Source: RNAcentral
UACGAAGGGGGCUAGCGUUGUUCGGAAUUACUGGGCGUAAAGCGCACGUAGGCGGGUUGUUAAGUCAGGGGUGAAGUCUCGGAGCUCAACUCCGGAACUGCCUUUGAUACUGGCAAUCUAGAGACUGGAAGAGGUUAGUGGAAUUCCCAGUGUAGAGGUGAAAUUCGUAGAUAUUGGGAAGAACACCAGUGGCGAAGGCGGCUAACUGGUCCAGUACUGACGCUGAGGUGCGAAAGCGUGGGGAGCAAACAGG